GCAGUGCAGGACUGGAGUGAACCAUUUUUAGAGCUAAUCAGAACCCACUUUUAGUUUGAAAGCCCAACGAAGUGUUUCUGCAGUGACAGAUCAGGCAGAGGCUUGUCGGUAUGUGAAAAGUAGCUCAUUAUCUAAAAAGGUACCUAUUAAGAACAACCAAUCCUAGCAGUUUUAGUGCUCCAACUGGUGACACAGCCCUGGCAUGUUUUACUAUGGCUUUUCUGAAACAUUUCUGUUAAUUCUUCAGCUCAAGGUGUCAGAGGUGGUACCAACCUUUAAUAUUUGCUCAAGGAGCAUGUCUACGUAAAUAUUCAUCUUGAUUGCUGUAGUGAAUUCUGCAUGGGGCUGCCCUUGAAACUUCACCCAAUACAAAAUGCAGGUAGCCUGUUGGUUUAUCUAGAGCCAUAUAAGCCCAAUUCUGGGAGAGCUCUGGUGGCAUCCAGUUACACCUCCAACUUAAAUUCAGUGUAUUGGUUUUUACCUUUACUGUGCAACCCUAUAAACAUCUACUCAGUAGUAAGUCCCAUUGCGUUAAACAGGACUUACUUCCAUUGGGGCAAGAAGGGAAAAUAAGAAGUAUCCCUGCUUUCCAUUACCAACGGUACAUUCAUUUAUUGGUGGCUUAUAUGAAGGCUUAACAACUCAUUUCCUAUAUAUUUAUUCUUCUAGAGGCAAAUCAGCAGUGGUCCCUUACUUUUUGGAAAACACUAGACUAGAGAACACUAGAGAACACUAGACUUUUAUGAAAUGCACAUGGUAUCUCAUUGCUCUUCUAAGGUUUUCAGCUGGGGCAUUACAUUGAAAACAAUGAGCAACAUGUGCCAGACAUUUUAUUUUCCUUAUGUGUGCAUUUCUUUUUCAAUCACACCUUGAUUAAAAUUUGAUAAAACAGCUAAACACCCAGCUCAUGCACAGCAAUUUGGCCAUUGCUUAUGCAGAUGAAUUGUGCUAUGUUUCCACAAUGCUAGUACAGUAGACUCGCAGUGGAGCAUCAGUACCUGUUUGGGUGCCUCAAUGUUGACAAAGGCGAAUCCACAGGCAGUCCACUUUAUAGACAGAAGCUACAGCAGCUGAAAAACAGGAGCUAGUCUCCAGAAAACCUCUGACCUUGGCUUGUGACAAAAAUGUAGUGUCCACAUCUUUGCUGGAUAUAAACCACAAAAGUGGGAAAGGAUUGUUGAGCAAUGUUCACCUACAGGUCCAGGAAAUGAAAUACUGUAGCAGAACUGAGGAACAAUCCCACCACUGAAAAACACCAAAGUGAACAGUACAUGUUUGUGAGGCUGUCUUAUGUCCAGCUGUAGUGGGCAGAAAUGUAAAGUGGAGUGACACGCUUGUCUUCACAGUAGGAAAAGCUGUAGAGACCAGGUUUCUGGGCUGGGGGCCAAGAAGGAAACACUGCUGUCAUAGACCUUUGGAGGAAACACAUGCCAAAUGCAGGAUGGCUGGAGGGGCCAGGACGUCUGAGCUUUCCAAGUGUUUUUGGAUUGGAGCUGUAGCACCACAGAUUUCUUUGUAUCAGUGGCACCUGCCCGGGCCCCAUCUCCUUCCAAGGAAUGAAUCAGUCCUGUGGAAUUCAGGAAACUGGUUUGUCCAGCAGCUCUAGAAGGCAAGCACUACUGCUCCCUGUGAUGCCUCAACUCUUCCCUGUGGCAUCUGAGCUAGCAGCUUGGUUUCUGGCUUUGCUGCCAAGUUUUGGUGCCGCCCUCUCCUGGGUUGCUCCUCAACUCUGCACAGCUCUAAUUGAUGGGUGGAAACCUGCUUUGGGGAUUUUGGAUGAGGCGCCAACAGAGCACUGGACUGGUGUGGGCACAGUGAAACAAACAAGGGAUUUCAACAGCCGGCUGUCCGACAAGAAAAACAAGCCAAGCCUCUGCAGUUUCCUGGGACCAGGGAAGUCCAAUUCAACUGGAAUUGUAGGAAGCACGUUCCCAACCAGGCCUAGUGUUUUUAUGCAGCCUGGUGUUCUUAUGCAAUCUAUUUUGCAAUUUCUUCAUUAAUUUCCAUUCCACCAUUCACUAACCCAGGCCUUUGGCUUUUGGCUUGGACAUGAGCCAAGUACACAUCAUAGGUAUCCAAUAAAUACAUUAGAUUUCUAGAGGUGGCGGGGCCACAGUGAAGCUCAGCCAGUUUCUCAGGCUAAUAAAUUAAAUUGCUUAGCUGCUUCAGUUGCAGUAUAAUUUAGAGAAAUUUUUGCAGGGAAGGAAACUGUCUUAUAUAAGACUGGAUAUCCCACACCCAGUACAAUAUUUGGUCAUCAGAUCUGUCAAAUCCUCUACCAGCCAGCAGAUAAUUAUUUUGUUUUCUGCUCUUGCUAGUUACGCUGUACAUUUCCUGAAUUCAAAUGGCUUGGGCAUGCCAAACUCUCUGUGCUCACCUCACACUUUUCUUACCAGUUGGGUGAGCAAACACUGUUCUAAAGCAGGAAGAGAAGCUGCAGGAUGCUAGAAACCACAAUCAAUCCUUUCUCCAUCAUCUCAGAUUGCAGUCCAGAUAAAGGAUUAUACUGACUUUCCACCCUUGAAUUCAGAAAAACGCUUCAAGAAGAUUCCCUCUUAUCACCACCCCCUACCUACCCACCCACCCACCUCCCUACCGAAGAAACAGAGGCAAGAGAGUCAUCUCCAUUGCUGUCUUAUGCAUGGCCCCAUUUCUUCUCGCUGCUCUAACUGGCCUAGGUAAGACUGCAAGAACUGGUUGUGGAGCAACGUAAGCAUGUGUAUUGAACGUUCAUUACAGUAUAAAUGCCAUGGUCAACAAUAGCAGAAAUGUUAGGGGAUGCUACAGUGGAAAGAGAAAGCAACAAAUGUGGAGCCAAAGGUGUCAGGCAGAUUUUUAUUCCAGGAAUUGCCAGGUAGAACUUCCAUUUCAGGACUCAUCACUCUGGCCCAGAACCCUCAAAUCCAAAAACUGGGGCACCAAGCAGCAACAGAACAGAGGGACAGAACAGUCGCACCCCCAUUCUCCCCAUUGCCUAUGGAGAAACUGGCCCAAGCCCAGAUGACCCUGCCUGCCCUCUGGAUUGAUGAGCCCAAUUGGUUUGGCUUUCAGUGAGCUUUUGGACCAGACUUACACAUUCUGGAGCUGAACAUCUUGUCACUUACAAUACAAGGCACACACAACUGGAGCUUCUAAGACAGGCACAGCAUGAGGACCAGCAGCGGAGCAAGCCAAUCGGGUGCCUGGGGCAGCGAGCAUGCCCUGUGCCCAGGGGCAGCACCAGCCGGAGCAGGACACUCCGCGG
Molecule: non-coding RNA, 3244 nt
Organism: Podarcis lilfordi (Lilford's wall lizard)
Lineage: Eukaryota; Metazoa; Chordata; Lepidosauria; Squamata; Lacertidae
Source: the annotation of a GenBank genome assembly